GCAGGUAUCGUACAAAGGCUAGUAUAUCAGCCCUCCAAGCUGGGGAUGUGGGUUCGAUUCCCAUUACUUGCUCCA
RNAcentral lists this transfer RNA (75 nucleotides) under Caudoviricetes sp. RNAcentral's name for it is "tRNA-Gly". It matches the Rfam family "tRNA". Rfam says of the family: Transfer RNA (tRNA) molecules are approximately 80 nucleotides in length. Their secondary structure includes four short double-helical elements and three loops (D, anti-codon, and T loops). Further hydrogen bonds mediate the characteristic L-shaped molecular structure. tRNAs have two regions of fundamental functional importance: the anti-codon, which is responsible for specific mRNA codon recognition, and the 3' end, to which the tRNAs corresponding amino acid is attached (by aminoacyl-tRNA synthetases). tRNAs cope with the degeneracy of the genetic code in two manners: having more than one tRNA (with a specific anti-codon) for a particular amino acid; and 'wobble' base-pairing, i.e. permitting non-standard base-pairing at the 3rd anti-codon position. Lineage: Duplodnaviria; Heunggongvirae; Uroviricota; Caudoviricetes. The record is from RNAcentral.